UUCAUCAUGUUAGCCAUCAUGGCUUCCAAUGAUGUAGUUUGCUGAGGGAUAGGGGCACUAUAAGUAGGAAUAGGUGGAGCCAAUGAUUGGUUUAUUUGUGAGGGACCUAUCCUGGAAAAAUUCUUCUGAAAACCUGGUGGACCACCUUGAUGUUGAAUAGGUUCAUUUUGCUUGUAUGAGAAAUUUGGGUGGAACCUAUUAUCAGGGUGGUAGACUGGGCUGAAUGAAUUGGGAGUGGGCUUCUUGAAGGCACUAUAUGAGUUUAGAGCAUUUGCCUGCUCA
Molecule: long non-coding RNA, 282 nt
Filed under: Phoenix dactylifera (date palm)
Lineage: Eukaryota; Viridiplantae; Streptophyta; Magnoliopsida; Arecales; Arecaceae
Description: long non-coding RNA (PDAC_LNC010450)
Source: RNAcentral